UACGUAGGGGGCUAGCGUUGUCCGGAUUUAUUGGGCGUAAAGAGCGUGUAGGCGGCCAGGUAGGUCCGGUGUGAAAACUCGAGGCUUAACCUCGAGAUGUCAUCGGAAACCAUCUGGCUAGAGUCCGGAAGAGGAGAGUGGAAUUCCUGGUGUAGCGGUGAAAUGCGCAGAUAUCAGGAAGAACACCAGUGGCGAAGGCGGCUCGCUGGGCCGGUCCUGACGCUGAGACGCGAAGGCGUGGGGAGCGAACGGG
Molecule: ribosomal RNA, 253 nt
Filed under: uncultured bacterium
Lineage: Bacteria
Description: partial 16S ribosomal RNA
Rfam family: Bacterial small subunit ribosomal RNA
Source: RNAcentral